AUUACCCCUACCCUAUAAGACCUGGGAUUACCUUUCGGGGAAACCCGGAGCUUAAUUACCCGGAUUAAUAUUUUGAACCCGCAUGGUUCAAAAGUGAAGCGGUCUUGCUGUCACUUAUAGAUGGAUCCGCGCUGCAUUAGCUAGUUGGUAAGGUAACGGCUUACCAAGGCAACGAUGCAUAGCCGACCUGAGAGGGUGAUCGGCCACACUGGAACUGAGACACGGUCCAGACUCCUACGGGAGGCAGCAGUAGGGAAUCUUCCGCAAUGGGCGAAAGCCUGACGGAGCAACGCCGCGUGAGUGAUGAAGGUCUUCGGAUCGUAAAACUCUGUUAUUAGGGAAGAACAUAUGUGUAAGUAACUGUGCACAUCUUGACGGUACCUAAUCAGAAAGCCACGGCUAACUACGUGCCAGCAGCCGCGGUAAUACGUAGGUGGCAAGCGUUAUCCGGAAUUAUUGGGCGUAAAGCGCGCGUAGGCGGUUUUUUAAGUCUGAUGUGAAAGCCCACGGCUCAACCGUGGAGGGUCAUUGGAAACUGGAAAACUUGAGUGCAGAAGAGGAAAGUGGAAUUCCAUGUGUAGCGGUGAAAUGCGCAGAGAUAUGGAGGAACACCAGUGGCGAAGGCGACUUUCUGGUCUGUAACUGACGCUGAUGUGCGAAAGCGUGGGGAUCAAACAGGAUUAGAUACCCUGGUAGUCCACGCCGUAAACGAUGAGUGCUAAGUGUUAGGGGGUUUCCGCCCCUUAGUGCUGCAGCUAACGCAUUAAGCACUCCGCCUGGGGAGUACGACCGCAAGGUUG
Molecule: ribosomal RNA, 800 nt
Filed under: uncultured Staphylococcus sp.
Lineage: Bacteria; Bacillati; Bacillota; Bacilli; Caryophanales; Staphylococcaceae
Description: bacterial SSU rRNA
Rfam family: Bacterial small subunit ribosomal RNA
Source: RNAcentral